UUGCAAAUCUUGAUGAGUGAA
This 21-nucleotide non-coding RNA is filed under the name Caenorhabditis elegans. The record is from RNAcentral. Lineage: Eukaryota; Metazoa; Nematoda; Chromadorea; Rhabditida; Rhabditidae.